This 2448-nucleotide ribosomal RNA is filed under the name Shigella flexneri. RNAcentral describes it as "partial 23S ribosomal RNA". It matches the Rfam family "Bacterial large subunit ribosomal RNA", at positions 294 to 2733 of the family's 2925-position model. The record is from RNAcentral. Lineage: Bacteria; Pseudomonadati; Pseudomonadota; Gammaproteobacteria; Enterobacterales; Enterobacteriaceae.
GGAGCAGCCCAGAGCCUGAAUCAGUGUGUGUGUUAGUGGAAGCGUCUGGAAAGGCGUGCGAUACAGGGUGACAGCCCCGUACACAAAAAUGCACAUACUGUGAGCUCGAUGAGUAGGGCGGGACACGUGGUAUCCUGUCUGAAUAUGGGGGGACCAUCCUCCAAGGCUAAAUACUCCUGACUGACCGAUAGUGAACCAGUACCGUGAGGGAAAGGCGAAAAGAACCCCGGCGAGGGGAGUGAAAAAGAACCUGAAACCGUGUACGUACAAGCAGUGGGAGCACGCUUAGGCGUGUGACUGCGUACCUUUUGUAUAAUGGGUCAGCGACUUAUAUUCUGUAGCAAGGUUAACCGAAUAGGGGAGCCGAAGGGAAACCGAGUCUUAACUGGGCGUUAAGUUGCAGGGUAUAGACCCGAAACCCGGUGAUCUAGCCAUGGGCAGGUUGAAGGUUGGGUAACACUAACUGGAGGACCGAACCGACUAAUGUUGAAAAAUUAGCGGAUGACUUGUGGCUGGGGGUGAAAGGCCAAUCAAACCGGGAGAUAGCUGGUUCUCCCCGAAAGCUAUUUAGGUAGCGCCUCGUGAAUUCAUCUCCGGGGGUAGAGCACUGUUUCGGCAAGGGGGUCAUCCCGACUUACCAACCCGAUGCAAACUGCGAAUACCGGAGAAUGUUAUCACGGGAGACACACGGCGGGUGCUAACGUCCGUCGUGAAGAGGGAAACAACCCAGACCGCCAGCUAAGGUCCCAAAGUCAUGGUUAAGUGGGAAACGAUGUGGGAAGGCCCAGACAGCCAGGAUGUUGGCUUAGAAGCAGCCAUCAUUUAAAGAAAGCGUAAUAGCUCACUGGUCGAGUCGGCCUGCGCGGAAGAUGUAACGGGGCUAAACCAUGCACCGAAGCUGCGGCAGCGACGCUUAUGCGUUGUUGGGUAGGGGAGCGUUCUGUAAGCCUGUGAAGGUGUGCUGUGAGGUAUGCUGGAGGUAUCAGAAGUGCGAAUGCUGACAUAAGUAACGAUAAAGCGGGUGAAAAGCCCGCUCGCCGGAAGACCAAGGGUUCCUGUCCAACGUUAAUCGGGGCAGGGUGAGUCGACCCCUAAGGCGAGGCCGAAAGGCGUAGUCGAUGGGAAACAGGUUAAUAUUCCUGUACUUGGUGUUACUGCGAAGGGGGGACGGAGAAGGCUAUGUUGGCCGGGCGACGGUUGUCCCGGUUUAAGCGUGUAGGCUGGUUUUCCAGGCAAAUCCGGAAAAUCAAGGCCGAGGCGUGAUGACGAGGCACUACGGUGCUGAAGCAACAAAUGCCCUGCUUCCAGGAAAAGCCUCUAAGCAUCAGGUAACAUCAAAUCGUACCCCAAACCGACACAGGUGGUCAGGUAGAGAAUACCAAGGCGCUUGAGAGAACUCGGGUGAAGGAACUAGGCAAAAUGGUGCCGUAACUUCGGGAGAAGGCACGCUGAUACGUAGGUGAAGCGACUUGCUCGUGGAGCUGAAAUCAGUCGAAGAUACCAGCUGGCUGCAACUGUUUAUUAAAAACACAGCACUGUGCAAACACGAAAGUGGACGUAUACGGUGUGACGCCUGCCCGGUGCCGGAAGGUUAAUUGAUGGGGUUAGCGCAAGCGAAGCUCUUGAUCGAAGCCCCGGUAAACGGCGGCCGUAACUAUAACGGUCCUAAGGUAGCGAAAUUCCUUGUCGGGUAAGUUCCGACCUGCACGAAUGGCGUAAUGAUGGCCAGGCUGUCUCCACCCGAGACUCAGUGAAAUUGAACUCGCUGUGAAGAUGCAGUGUACCCGCGGCAAGACGGAAAGACCCCGUGAACCUUUACUAUAGCUUGACACUGAACAUUGAGCCUUGAUGUGUAGGAUAGGUGGGAGGCUUUGAAGUGUGGACGCCAGUCUGCAUGGAGCCGACCUUGAAAUACCACCCUUUAAUGUUUGAUGUUCUAACGUGGACCCGUGAUCCGGGUUGCGGACAGUGUCUGGUGGGUAGUUUGACUGGGGCGGUCUCCUCCUAAAGAGUAACGGAGGAGCACGAAGGUUGGCUAAUCCUGGUCGGACAUCAGGAGGUUAGUGCAAUGGCAUAAGCCAGCUUGACUGCGAGCGUGACGGCGCGAGCAGGUGCGAAAGCAGGUCAUAGUGAUCCGGUGGUUCUGAAUGGAAGGGCCAUCGCUCAACGGAUAAAAGGUACUCCGGGGAUAACAGGCUGAUACCGCCCAAGAGUUCAUAUCGACGGCGGUGUUUGGCACCUCGAUGUCGGCUCAUCACAUCCUGGGGCUGAAGUAGGUCCCAAGGGUAUGGCUGUUCGCCAUUUAAAGUGGUACGCGAGCUGGGUUUAGAACGUCGUGAGACAGUUCGGUCCCUAUCUGCCGUGGGCGCUGGAGAACUGAGGGGGGCUGCUCCUAGUACGAGAGGACCGGAGUGGACGCAUCACUGGUGUUCGGGUUGUCAUGCCAAU